Molecule: long non-coding RNA, 846 nt
Organism: Scylla paramamosain (green mud crab)
Lineage: Eukaryota; Metazoa; Arthropoda; Malacostraca; Decapoda; Portunidae
Exons: 3
Source: RefSeq, a predicted model, not a curated record
GUUCGAAGCAUUGGCUCGAAGCAGAGUGUUUAGUGUUCAGUGGUGCGGGGAGAGAGAAGGCCUGGGAGAGACUAGUGCCGCUAUUCUCUCGCUGACAGUGUGUUGCGCCGAGUGUUCUAGUGACGUGUGUGAGAGAGACGGAUUAUCGCGUAGUGAAAAGCGAGUGGAAAGAGUGGUGAGUGACCUGACAUUGUGCCAAGUAAAGAAUGGUGAGGAAAAAAUUACUAACCAUUAUGUUAAAUAGGAGCAGCCGCCGCAGCAACUCAAGGUCAUCGUUGGCUAAAGUAGACGCCGCGCAGCCACCGCCCAAAAGCCUGUUACGUGGAAACCAACGGUGCCCGACGCUAUCUCGACCCUCGACAGACUCGGUUUUUCUACGCGUCACGUUCUAGGCGAUGAAGUGGGACGACCAUCCACGCCCUCGCCGCAGCCUGUAGGGAGCUUGAGGGGUUACUGCUGGCUGUGUGGCAGAGUGCUCGAGGAUCAAGUCUUGUGAUAUGGGCUGUUGUAAGGCUGCUCGAGCACUAUGAGGCCUGUACAAGAGUAGGAGAGAGUGAAGGGAGAAAUGGCGCCUGUAAAGUUAUGUAACAGCUGGUUUAAGGAAUACAUAAGUAAAUUAAUAAAUUAUUAAGUAUCAAUGAAGAUUUCUAUUACUAAUUUGUUUGUGAUUUUCAAUUUUCUUUAGAAAUGCGUUACUGUUACUGAAGGUGUACGUAUCUCCUUUCAUGAUUUACAUUUUCACGUAAUCUCAAAAUUCUCGUGCAGUGAUGGUGCACAGAAUUCUUUUCACUUGUUUUUUACGUUUUUUAUAUUUUCUUUUUUUCCGAAUUUCCCGAUCAUAUUUGG